Molecule: long non-coding RNA, 953 nt
Organism: Lycium barbarum (goji berry)
Lineage: Eukaryota; Viridiplantae; Streptophyta; Magnoliopsida; Solanales; Solanaceae
Exons: 3
Source: RefSeq, a predicted model, not a curated record
AAAAGUGAAUUUCGACCACGUGUGGUCGAAAUUAAUUUUUGUAAAAAUAAUAAAUGGGAAAAAAAUAUUUUAUACAUAAUUAAAUUUUAUAAAUAUAAAAUAAUUAAUUAAAAAAUAAAAAUAAAAAACUAAUUUCGACUACAUGUGAUCGAAAAUUUGAACAGAUUUUUUUUAGUCCCGAUUGGGUCUGUUUUCGUUUUAUUUUUGCUCCUUCUCUUUCUCUCUCUUUCCUCUCUCCCUCUCCUCUCUCUACGCCUCCCACCACCCGACUGCCUACGACCCCACCUCCUUAGACGCCUCCCCCACCCGACUGCCCCACCACCCAUCGACGCUUAACUCGCAGCCACCUCCUUUCCCGACCAUCAGCGUCUCCACCGCCGUAUUCGUGGCUGUUAAGGACAAAAUUUGAUUAUUGUUACAUUCGGUGGGUGGCGGCCAAUGCAUCUAUUGGUCCUUUAUAAAUUGGUUUGUUUCCUUUUGAUAUGUUAGCAUAUCGCUUAAUUCUACCUUGCAGCAGAGUUUGGCUGCUGAGUGUCUCUAUCACAUUCGAGGAUGUACUUUGUUUUGUUGAAGUCGCCAUUCCUUUUUAUUAAGAAAGUUUUCUUGGAAGCCGGAACAUCAUGAUUUAGUAGCGCAAAACUUUUUGGAUGACAUAAAUCAUGCUCUUGUCGAUGAGUCUAGUGGGCAGGAUACGGAUCAUGUCUCUAGCACCGAACAUUGACUUUUUUGAUUAAUGUGCUUUUGGAUUCUAAUUCUGCUAUGUUUAAAUGGAUAUGUAUAUGAAUGUAGUUUUAAUUUGAACGAGAAGUACUUUUAAUUUUAAGAUGUUUAAGUGUUUGAACGUAAUCUAUGAUGUUUAAGUGUUUGAAUGGAUAAUGUUUAAAUGUUCAAACAUUGUUUAUGGUUGUUGUGUUGCAUUGUUGAUGAAUUGGAUGACUGUUUUGGUUGAUGAA